UCUUCCGCUUGGCGUUGCCCUCCGUGCCCGGCGCGUACGGCUCCCGCUCGUUCGUCAGGUACCGCAGGAUGGCCAGUGGUCGAACACCGGAACAGGUUGCCUGAAGGAGGUUGUGGAAUCUCCGUCCUUGGAGCUGCGUUCAAGUCUCAACUGGAUACUAAACAAUCUGAUCCAAACAAACACGAUUUGAAGGAGUUGGACUGAUGUCCUCUGGAGAUCCUUUUUAACUUAAACUGUUUUGUGGGUCUGUGACAGACCUAGGUACUCCAUUUUUUAUGAUAAAUACUUGAUAGAGGAUCAAUUACAUUGCAUUAGGUAAACACAAGGGCUCAUAUUAAUUUCCAUGUUAAUUCAUUCUAUUACAUCUAUGUUUGAGUUGAAUAACGUGCUGUUACACCAGGUUAAGGCCCUGCUUAGAACAGCCUGCUUCACUCGAUGCACAGCUUGUGGGAGGAAUAACCUGUUAAUUCUUUACUCCUUCUCCCCAAAUCAGUUAGAACUCAGAAAUAAACAUCAAGGAAGAGUAAUCAUGAAGCACUUCUGUGCACCACUGCAGUGACACCAGGCAGCCAAAGCCUGCAAACUUCAAAGCAUUAACAAAUACUGACUUAUUAAUUAGUCAUAUCUGCCAAUCAAUUUCUAUAUAUAUCAUUAAUGGUAUUUCAAGCAGAUGGUAGAAGCUCAUCUUGAUUUUCAGCUUCUUAGCUGAAAGCAUUCACAAGGACACAUUCAGGGUAGCAGGUGCUUUCUACAAGACACUGAUGUGAUUUAUCUAAUCACCAGUAGCACAGGUAAAUUUCAGUGUUUCCAGCCUUCAGAUUUAAAUUAUUAAAAAUUCCUUUCCUUGCUAACUACAGGCGAUUUUUCUUCCUCUCUUUCCCCCUCCGGUUUCUGGCUCCUUCCCUUUCAAGUGUGUUAACUAGUUUAAAAGCCUUAAAUUUCAAUCUAAACAUGAGUAGCCCCUAUGGGGUUUUUUAAAUAGCAAAAAGCAGAAUUGUCGGAAGAUCAUGGUGCAAAUUCCAUUAAUAUAACCAUGACAGACCUUUUUUAAAUGGGUUGCAGCCUUCAUCCAGACCUAUAUCUAUUUUAUUAAAACCCAGACAAGGUAUAGCUCAAAAGUAUAGCCCAUAACCCACAGUGCCCACUACAGCCAUUGUUUCUGAAGCCCAAAAGGGCUUCGAAGGAAGUUGAAAUGUGACAACACAGCUGCCUUCUUCUUGAUAGGUGUAGUGAGGUAACAAACCAAGCCCUAAGAGCUAACAGGCAUUAAGAUGUGGCAUCAACAGACAACUAAGUGAUCCAGAAAAUAGUGAAGGUUCCUGUUGUGGUUCUAGUAAGUCAGGAACUUGCCUUGCCAAGGCUAUUGCUGUCCAGCAAACCUGUGGCAAAGUUUGGGCAUGCUGUCUGUACAGUGCAGUUACUUAUGCAAACAGAGGAAUUCCCAUGAGGAAUUUCAAUCCCUCUAGCGGUGGGAGGGUGGAAAAUUACUAAGGGAACCCAUAUCUGCCUCCAGGAAGUUAAAUAUGAACCUAAAUGAGCUUUGACUGUGUACCAGCAGCUCAUCAGCUGUAUUUGGAAGUCAUUCAAUCUUCACAGGCAUCCUUUUCCUGACAACAGCUUCCAGCAAUUAAUCAUUUUGUAACUUCCCAACCCAGAAGUUGCAUCUGAACCUUUGUGUGUAAAUGCCAUGCAGUCUGUGAAACCAUCCAUUCCCUUUUUUAACCUUUUCCUUAUUUGAUUCUCUGGAUCCUGCUACAUGCAUUCCACAACACAGGACCUUUUUAAGUGACUUACAGAUGGUAUUGCUUCACACCUCCUUUAGCUUGUGUCUGAGCUUAGAAACCUCUUUUUAUGUCACUUGUCAUAGAUGCAGAAUAAGCUUAGGCGCUGUUCUGUCCUUAAGGCAUCAGCUCCAUCUCCCCUGCUAGCUUAGCCACUCAGUGAGGAGUGGGGAAACGUGCUAAUACAGCAGAUUGUCUAAGAAACCAAGUGUUUUAUGGCAGGAAGAUGCUUUUCAGUCUGCAAAACCCAGACAUGGUUAUUUCACAGAUUCAUUCCCUUCAGUAUAUCUCACACAGCUGAGCAGACCAUGGCACAAGUAAUGGAAUUCCAUCAGAUGUUUAUUCAGCAUGACCAACAGUUUGGCAAGUUAGCGCUUUCCACCAACACGGGGAGCAGAAACCUUGACUGGUUUCACAAUCUUCUGCUUAGGUGCUGCCUUUGUAGGGGCCUGGAGAGAAAUAAUGAAGUAUGAGCAAAAAGCUGUUUAUUUGCAGUCCUACAUGUAUCCCUAUAUACACUCUUGAUGGAAAUCAGAUCAGAUCAAACUAGAAUUAAAACCUGUAACAUUGGGAUCAUGUUAACAGAUGUUUACACACAUAACACUAAGCCAGCGUAUGGCACUAAUUCAUAAGUGAUAAUGAAACAUGGUAACAUUCAUCAAUAUAUUGUUACCAAGUUCCUAGAUAGUGAAUAUGUCAUGUUCAGACAAAUUUUUAUCAAUUAUAUCUGAUAUUAUGUCAAAAAGUUGUUUAACUGUAAUAUUUACUUAUUCUGUAAAAAAGAUUCAUUCUAUGCAGCUGUUUGGGUAUGUUUAACUUCAGUACAAAAGUCUAGCUGAGGAACUUUCACAUCAAAAAGUUACAAAACUGCUUCCUCAAAACAGAAAUGAGAAUUUCCAAUAAAGUGCCACAGCAGAAUGUUGUGUGUUGUGUUACAGCAUGGUAUAUUCCAUUUCAUAGUUUCUAUUUUCCUAUAGCAUCUCACCUUUGCAGCAGAAACAGCUGUUUUCUUGGUUGCCUGCUUAGCCUUCUUGGCUUCCUUUGCAGCCCUGUUAAUUCACAGAAAAAAAGAGGAAGUUAUCCAUGUCUGCCAUUCACUCUUUCCUUGUCUCAGCGCUGUAAGAGCAUCCCAAGAUCAGGAAUGGAAUGUAUUACUGCAGAUUUCUCCUCCACAUUCACUAUCCCCUGGGGAGAUUUCUACAGAGACAGCAGAACUGUGUAUCACAAGAAUACAAUGGAAGAGUGCACGAAGAGACCCCUCUCUGCUGCUACUAUCUCUUGCCAAGAUUAUUCAGUAUUACAUACAAAUACACAGAUUAAAAGCAAACAAAAAACCCUACAAAAAUCUUAUAGAACACGGAGCUCACCUAGAGCUUAAGCUUUUGUAUGAAAAGUACUGUAAUCAUUGAAAAGCUUGGGAUAGCUCCAGUGAUCUCUAACUUCUCACCUAAUAGCUUGUUCCCUCUGCGCCUUUCGUACUUCGGGCUUCUGGUUUCGCUUGGCCAUAAUCUCAGCUAGAGAGGCACCAGUGAUGGCUCUCUGAAACUUCACUGCACGGCGCGUGCGCUUCUUUUGCACCUCUUCCUAAGAGGGCAGGAGACGAACACAGACAAUUAGCAUCACAAGACAUUAAAUACACGACAGUUACAGAAACAAGCUGCUAUUGAGAUUAAAGCUAUUUAAAACUGUACACCAAAGUAGAAUUUCACUCCUCACUUCAGAGAAUCCUUCUGUUGAGUACACAGAAGUGCUGCCCUACCUCCAUACGGCCCCUUCUCCAGCCACAUCCUGUACUUUCCGUAGUGUGUUAUUACCAACAGUCCUUGGUUGGCUCCCCAGCUAUCCAGUUAUCAGUGUUGGAGACACACACAUUAGCCCCUCUAUCUUCCAGGCUUCUACAGCAAGUAUGAAAAAAAUUAUUUAAAAAUAAUGUCAAAAGUUCAGCCAUCUGUAACUCCCACAAGAAAAAAAGGGAAGGAGAAACCUUUGAUGGUGUCUUCUAAAAGGACGACACUCCACACCUAUUCAAGUGGGAUCAGGUGCUGGGGAGCAGUGUAAGCCAUCAUGCAUUAACUUUCUUUCUUCAACCAAGCUGGCAAGAACGCUGACUUACUGCACUGAUGUAAGCCUUCUCAAAGCUCUUCUGCUGCACACAUUUGAACAAGAGCACUGGAGAUACCUCAUGCUAUGUGCCUUCAUGAUUUAUUCUUUUCAUGCAGUGAAGCUACAUAGGAAAAGACCUGCUAAGACACAGCCUAACGUUUUCAAGGAGACUAUAUUAAGAGUGUCAUCACUGCUCCCCUAACCCUGGAAUCAGCUCCCUAUGUUGUCACUAUUCAGGAAGUUUACAAGACCAAACUUUUAGGAAAUCUGCUUAUUAAACAGCAUUACCCACCUUCCCCAAAACUAACUUUUAAAAACAUAUGCCAUUCCUACAAUUAUUAAGAUCUACUGAACCUACUGUGGCUCUGAGUGGUCCUUUAAAGAAGUGCUACCACACCAAUGCAAUGGUUUUGUUGAAGUGGUGUAUAAACUCACGUAAUUACGCUCACAUUUUCACCAUUAUUGACCAGUCUUCAACCUGGUGACCUGGGUCAUGCUUCUGCUGAACACUGGCAAGCUCAAGUGACCUCUAACAGACCAGUAACCACAUCUUUUGGUCACCAACUUACAGUGCCAUUAGCUGGUAUGUACUUACUGACUGUCCUUUCUUGUGCUUACGCCUGUACAGAACAGUCCAGUUGAUCUGACGGGGGUUUCUCUUGGAAAGGAAUGCAGA
Molecule: long non-coding RNA, 4560 nt
Organism: Corvus hawaiiensis (hawaiian crow)
Lineage: Eukaryota; Metazoa; Chordata; Aves; Passeriformes; Corvidae
Exons: 2
Source: RefSeq, a predicted model, not a curated record